GAUGAACGCUGGCUACAGGCUUAACACAUGCAAGUCGAGGGGAAACGCCGGGGAAGCUUGCUUCCCCGGGCGUCGACCGGCGCACGGGUGAGUAACGCGUAUCCAACCUGCCUCUGACUGAGGGAUAACCCGUCGAAAGUCGGCCUAAUACCUCAUGGUAUCGUCUGCGGGCAUCCAACGACGAUUAAAGAUUUCAUCGGUCAGGGAUGGGGAUGCGUCUGAUUAGCUUGUUGGCGGGGUAACGGCCCACCAAGGCUACGAUCAGUAGGGGUUCUGAGAGGAAGGUCCCCCACAUUGGAACUGAGACACGGUCCAAACUCCUACGGGAGGCAGCAGUGAGGAAUAUUGGUCAAUGGGCGAGAGCCUGAACCAGCCAAGUGGCGUGCAGGAAGACGGCCCUAUGGGUUGUAAACUGCUUUUAUGCGGGGAUAAAGUGAGGGACGUGUCCCUCAUUGCAGGUACCGCAUGAAUAAGGACCGGCUAAUUCCGUG
Molecule: ribosomal RNA, 491 nt
Filed under: uncultured bacterium
Lineage: Bacteria
Description: partial 16S ribosomal RNA
Rfam family: Bacterial small subunit ribosomal RNA
Source: RNAcentral